Molecule: long non-coding RNA, 490 nt
Organism: Oncorhynchus kisutch (coho salmon)
Lineage: Eukaryota; Metazoa; Chordata; Actinopteri; Salmoniformes; Salmonidae
Exons: 3
Source: RefSeq, a predicted model, not a curated record
AUCCAAACUGACAGGGUAUUAAAGCUAUUUGGGACCUUAACCUUUUUAUAUAACCCUAAAAGUGACUGACAACAUUUUUUCCCCAGCUAUAAACCCAAACAAAAUUUGUUUGGACCUAUCUGACAGCUCUGAUGUUGUCUUUGUGUCGUGGAGGAACCCUAACCGUGUAGUAGGAGACCACUGCUAUGAGAGCACACUACAAUACAGGAACCACUGUGACACGGACUGGCAGGUUGUUGUACUGAAGGAGUUCUCCUACCAGGUGGACAAGCCAGACAGGAAGAGGAGAUAUUACUUCAGGAUACGGAUGAGAUACGACUGUCUGUUUGGUGACCUGAAGACUUGGAGUGGAUGGACACCAACUAGAUACUGGAGAAAUGAGACCGAGACAGGUCCCUGUGCCACAGAGAUAAAUGUCAUUGUUUAUGUUGUGACCAUUUUACCUUUGUUGAUCUGUUUCCUGCUGAUAGUCACUUUCUCACAGAACAGG